This 771-nucleotide ribosomal RNA is filed under the name uncultured bacterium. RNAcentral describes it as "bacterial SSU rRNA". It matches the Rfam family "Bacterial small subunit ribosomal RNA", at positions 116 to 890 of the family's 1533-position model. The record is from RNAcentral.
CGUAUGCAAUCUACCUUUUACAGAGGGAUAGCCCAGAGAAGUUUGGAUUAAUACCUCAUAGUAUUAUUGAAUGGCAUCAUUUAAUAAUUAAAGUCACAACGGUAAAAGAUGAGCAUGCGUCCCAUUAGCUUGUUGGUAAGGUAACGGCUUACCAAGGCAACGAUGGGUAGGGGUCCUGAGAGGGAGAUCCCCCACACUGGUACUGAGACACGGACCAGACUCCUACGGGAGGCAGCAGUGAGGAAUAUUGGUCAAUGGGCGCAAGCCUGAACCAGCCAUGCCGCGUGCAGGAUGACGGUCCUAUGGAUUGUAAACUGCUUUUGUACAGGAAGAAACAGUUCUACGUGUAGAACCUUGACGGUACUGUAAGAAUAAGGAUCGGCUAACUCCGUGCCAGCAGCCGCGGUAAUACGGAGGAUCCAAGCGUUAUCCGGAAUCAUUGGGUUUAAAGGGUCCGUAGGCGGUUUUGUAAGUCAGUGGUGAAAGCCCAUCGCUCAACGGUGGAACGGCCAUUGAUACUGCAAGACUUGAAUUAUUGGGAAGUAACUAGAAUAUGUAGUGUAGCGGUGAAAUGCUUAGAGAUUACAUGGAAUACCAAUUGCGAAGGCAGGUUACUACCAAUAUAUUGACGCUGAUGGACGAAAGCGUGGGGAGCGAACAGGAUUAGAUACCCUGGUAGUCCACGCCGUANACGAUGGAUACUAGCUGUUCGGAGCAAUCUGAGUGGCUAAGCGAAAGUGAUAAGUAUCCCACCUGGGGAGUACGUUCGCA